RNA transcript from Glycine soja, 1877 nucleotides. It is a transcript of the gene named carboxyl-terminal-processing peptidase 1, chloroplastic-like, with no coding region annotated. The record is from RefSeq and is a predicted model, not a curated record. NCBI's taxonomy places the organism in Eukaryota, Viridiplantae, Streptophyta, Magnoliopsida, Fabales, Fabaceae. The transcript is spliced from 12 exons.
CUGUCUGAAACUCUCGCCACCUCCAACUUGCCUCUCCAAACAUCCUCGUCUUCCCAUUCCCUUGGUUCGCAACACUCUCCUCGGCGCUGCUCUCUCCUUCGGGCUUGUCUUCUCCUUCCCCUCUGUCUCUGCUUCCCAAAUAUGUCGUGAUGUGGAACCCAUACAAGAGACGCUCCAAACAGCUCCCGAGGUUGUCACCAACGAAGGCCUCGUCGAGGAAGCAUGGCAGAUUGUCAACGACACCUUUCUCGACACUGGUCGCCACAGAUGGUCCCAGGACACUUGGCAGCUGAAGAGGGAAGCUAUUUUGAGCAAUUCCAUUCAGACAAGAUCAAAGGCGCACCACAUCAUCAAACGAAUGCUCUCCAGCUUGGCCGAUCCUUAUACUCGCUUUCUCUCCCCUGAUGAGUUCUCCAAGAUGGCAAGGUAUGACAUGACUGGUGUUGGAAUAAACCUUAAGGAAGUUCCUGAUGAAAAUGGAGACCUCAGACUGGAGGUUCUGGGAAUUAUAUUGGAUGGUCCUGCUCAUUCUGCUGGUGUUAGACAGGGGGAUGAAAUAUUGGCUGUCAAUAACAUGGAGGUAAAGGGAAAAUCAGCAUUUGAAGUAUCAUCCCUGUUGCAAGGCCCUAAUGGAACAUCUGUGACUAUUCAGGUCAAGCAUGGCAACUGUGGACCCGUUGAAUCAAUAGAAGUCCAGCGGCAACUUGUUGCUCGUACCCCAGUCUUUUAUCGGCUGGAACAAUUGGACAAUGGUGUUACUUCUGUUGGGUAUAUACGCCUCAAAGAGUUCAAUGCAUUGGCCAGAAAAGACUUAGUCAUUGCAAUGAAACGACUUCAAGACAUGGGUGCCUCAUAUUUCAUAUUGGAUCUCAGAGACAAUCUUGGUGGGCUAGUACAGGCCGGAAUUGAAAUUGCAAAGCUUUUCCUAAAUGAAGGAGACACGGUGAUCUACACUGUUGGAAGAGAUCCUCAGUUACAGAAAGCUAUUGUUACAGAUACUUCACCAUUGAUUCAAGCUCCUGUUGUUAUUUUAGUAAACGACAAAACUGCUAGUGCAAGUGAAAUAGUUGCUUCUGCACUUCAUGAUAAUUGUAGAGCUGUUCUUGUUGGAAAACGCACAUAUGGCAAGGGUCUAAUCCAAUCUGUAUUUGAGCUUGAUGAUGGAUCUGGUGUGGUUAUCACUGUUGGGAAGUAUGUAACACCAAAUCACAAGGACAUAAACGGCAAUGGAAUAGAGCCUGACUUCCAGAAACUUCCAGCAUGGGAUGAUAUCAGCCGACAUCUUAAAAAAUGCAGUAUGUCACAACAGGGAUAAAGCAGUCUCUUUGGUAUUCCGAUGCAAUAUAUUGCUUUGGACUUAUCAUUUAAAUUGAAACUUUUGAUGAAUCUGCUCGCUGGAAGCUGCUUUGUAUAUCUCAAGAAUUUCAAGUUAAUAUAGAUAUAUGCCUGAAUGGUCUGCCUAGCCUUCUUGGCUACAAUGGCAUUUAAUUCAACAUACAUUGGCCUAACACCCAAGAUUGGCUUGGAAUAUUUGUAACCGUUCCAUUCAAGAUGAAGUGUAUAGUGGAUACGACAUGAGAAGAAAUGACCCUAGGAAGCAUGCAAGAGUUUUUAUUCAAGCAGCCAGUUCAGAACAGAAGUGACUAGGGUUUAAUGCAUACUAACAUAUAGAAGCUUUGUUGUACAUUUUUAUGAACCUUUUGAUACUAUGUUCCUUUUUUACCUCGCACCACAUCCUCCCCAAUAUUAAUGUGUAUCAGACGUAUUAGUUGAUUGUUCAAGUGCUUGGAAAAAAUGCCACUUUAUUGGUAAAGAAUUCAUUACAGAUUGACAAUGACGAAAAUGGAAAUUGGGAAUCAUUACUGCUUAUAUUUUCA